Molecule: non-coding RNA, 73 nt
Organism: Phycodurus eques (leafy seadragon)
Lineage: Eukaryota; Metazoa; Chordata; Actinopteri; Syngnathiformes; Syngnathidae
Source: the annotation of a RefSeq genome assembly
GCCUCGUUGGCACAGUAGGCAGUGCGUCAGUCUCAUAAUCUGAAGGUCGUGAGUUCGAUCCUCAUACGAGGCA